CUUUGCUUUUCCUGAUUGCUCUUCACAAUCUAUCUGAGAUAUAAGAUUGGAGACAAUGUUCUCUAAUGUGUCAGGCUCAAGCUCAGAUCUCGGGUAAGGAGUAUCUCUCAGCAACCUCAAAAGUGUUUGUGCUUUUGUCCGAGACUUGGCUGUUCCUUGAACAGUAAGCUCAAGGAGCCCAGGGAUUACACCUUCUCUGAGAAUUGGUUCUCGGUAUUUAGAGCGAUCACUUUGACACAUUGUGAGGAGAGCUCCUACAGCAUGUUCUCGGCUUUGGGGAGAUCCACUUUCAAGCACUUCCACCACUGCAAGUACUCCCCCAUCUUCAGAUA
Molecule: long non-coding RNA, 332 nt
Filed under: Nicotiana benthamiana
Lineage: Eukaryota; Viridiplantae; Streptophyta; Magnoliopsida; Solanales; Solanaceae
Description: long non-coding RNA (NBEN_LNC042683)
Source: RNAcentral